ACAUAUACUGUGGCUAAUUUUUGCUAGUGAAUCAUGGUUGCUGAACUAUAUAGGAAGUGCCAGGAAGCUGUGUGACUUCAGAUAAAGACAAAUUAGAGAAUUGUGGUGAUUUCAUGUGCAGGGUACUUUUUGGAUGUUAAAUACUGUUCAAUUUAGAGCUUCAGCAGAGAUAAAAUUAUCUCUUUUCUUCCCUUGUUGGUCUCCAGUGUUAAACUCAUGUGGCUUAUGGAGAUUAGAAAGCUCCAGUCAAAGCUAAGACGUGUUCUAAAGACCUGUUCCUCCAUUUAGCUUUUGACUGAUUUAUGUGGUUUUACUGUUAAUUAUUUUCUGAUUAAACAUAUUCUUGAUACUUUGGAGUGAUUUUAAAUUGCAUGGUUUGGGAAAAACUUGUAUUUGAAACUUUUCAAUACUUGUUUUAUAUCUUGAAAGUUUGUUUCCUCGAGAAUGACAAUGGUAUUUUGUUUACAUGAUUCCUUUGUAAGUACUGUGGCCUUUUGGUGAUACUGUGCUUACCCAUUAGAUACGAACAGGGUUGCAUUUCUCACAUGUCAGCCAUGCAGGAAUGAGAAUUAUCUGUAAAUGGGAGCAUGAGAUACUUCUGUAGGGCGUUUUUAUCUGAGGCUCUAGGACAUUAUGUAGUCAUGAAAAUAAAUACAUAUAUAGAUGUGAAUGGCCUUUGCUUUCUCUGAUGGGAACAGAGAAUGUAACCUUGGUAAGAUUUGACCACAAGCUUGUAGUAACCUAGGAGUUUGGGUUUGUAUACUCUUAAUCUCUUGGGCAGCAUUGUCUGAAAAGCAGCACAUAGGUAAUGCCAAAAGUGUGAAGACAAACUUGUUCCUGAAAGUCAAAUGCUUUUUCAUUUCUUUAAGUAGUGACUAGGAAAGAGACAAGUAAAACAAUAAUUCUGUAGUUUAAUUUUUCCCCAACAAUUGCUGGAUUUUUUUUGGUUAUUUUUUCAGGGUUUUUUGUUUGUUUGGGUUUUUUGUUUUUGUUUUUUUCCUGAAUUGACUAUGUUAAUUUCUCUAACUUAAUUUUGUGUAUUUUUAAGUAUCUGUGAAGAUUUUAUAUGUCUAUAAAGAUCCUGUAUGACCUUUAUCUUAUAGUCCUGACAUAUUCUUUGUUGUCUAGAGAGCAACAAAGGAUAUGUCAGGACAGACCUACAUCUUAUGUAGUGUUUGUGUUGAUUCAGAAGAGGGUUUGUACAUAAUACAUCAUUCCUCCUGUUGUACUCUUGCAGUCUGUGAAUUUUGGAGGAAGGGUUUAGACACUAACAGGGUGUUUGGUAUUGAACAGGAUGCAUAUGGCAGGAUAGUAUCUAAUCUGGCUUUGUUGGAAAGAAGGCUCUUACAUGAAGGCCUGAAAAAAGGUGUUGAUUUUAACAUGCUUUGUUUCUGAUAAGUUUUUAAAUUUCCCCCUGCCCCCAACAAAGAACAGUCAUGAAAUUCACAUUUCAGUGUCCUUGUAACUGAAAUUGUGCAUAGUACUCUCAGGAAACUCACAUAAUAAACUAACACUUGUUAAAAUUAGGAAAACAGCCUUUGUAUUAGUAUUGGUUUUUCUCAAAAUUAGUGUGGCUGUGUUUCUUGUCUCUUCCAAAUUAUGGUAAUUCCUAAGGCUUUCAUUUAAUUCUGAGGGUGAGAGUUUCUCCCACUAAGGAGUUCUUGUUUGGAGCUUUUGCUUAAGUCAGCCAACCCUAGUCCUAGAUAAUGCAGUGGCGUUCUGUGGCAUUGAGGCAAUUUCCUGGUAAGAUUAGCUUACCUAAUGAGGGAUAGAUUUAUUACACCUCUUCCAUCAGUGGCCACUCUCUUCUCUCCUGGAUCAACCACUGCUAGAAAAAUCCUCAGCAAGAAGCGGGCGAAUGUUUACGUAAAUGGAUUCACAAGAUUGGUGGGGAAAUGGAGUGUGACAACAGGAACGUGUGCGUAAGAAGUUUUAAAGAUCUGUCUUGAAUAAUGGAAGUGUAUUACAAGCUUCUGGAUAAGGAAAACAGCUACUUGAUGAUGAGGCCAGUUUGUUUAGUUGUAAUAUUUCGAUACUUCAGAUGUUGUUGGUGUCUGCUCUUGUUUGGCUUAGUGAAGUGGUUGUGUGUUGGGCAAACUAUUUGAGACUUCAGAGGCUGAAAUUGCAUCUCCUGUCUGCUGAGAGCUAGAAUGAGGAAAUGAGGAAAAUUACUUAGCUGAGGAAAGACUUAACUUCUCAAAUCUUCUUGGUCCUGAUGUUCAUCUCCAGAAGCCCUGCUGGAAACAUGGAAGAUGGAAAUAGUUGUCCCAGUCAACUCCUCAAAUUUUCCAGUCACUGAAGAAAUACGAUAAUCAUGACCUAAGCUGGGUAAAUAAAUUAUCCUGGUAGAGCUUACACAGCCUGUACUCCAUAGACCAAAAUUUCUUCAAGACUGCAGGUCACGAGGCUGUGCUUAUUUACUGCUUGGGUAUUAAUGGGGGUCCACUCAAGAAGCAGGAGGAUCUGAAGCCAUUGCUGACCCAGGACAUAUAAUAAUAUGUCUGUAUUCCAUGUUGGUGGGCACAUGCCAAGCAACUCCCUUGAUACUAAAGAUGAGAAAACAUUCUUAGUGUUUUGGAGAGAGAACUGAGGGGGACAUUACAACUUUACUCUUCUGGGAGAAGAAUAGUUUAAGCAGGGAGAGACUGUUUCUUCAGAACAAAAAAUAACUGAAGCAAGAAUAACAUGAACAGGGAUGUGAAUAUUGUAUUAACCAGAAAAAAAUCAAACAUGCCUGUCAAACUGAAAAUAAAGGAAGAGUAAAAAAACCAAUGCAAGUGGUGACUGCAGAGCAAGGAGAAAGUGAAAGUGAAAAUCAAGCUGAAAAGAUAUUCCAAAACAGCAGUAGACCCAGAAUAAAAUGCAAAAAUAAGACCAAAACCUAACUGCUCUAUUUGACAUCUCAUUGGACUACUGAACCUAUUUAAAGAACGGAUAUUACUGGUAUUGAUUGUGGUGGUUUCACAUUUCACAUUGACUGACAUUUGGGGAAGUAAACCACUACACUGAUCCAGUCAUUCAAAAAGCAGCCAUACACAGUGGGGUGAAAUUCUACAUUCAGUUUCCAAGUGCAUUUCACAGGCCAGCCCUGUGCUAGUUUGUGUGUGUUCAUUCUGCUGACAGUGAAGCUGACGUGCAGAUCUGUACCAAGCUCUUAGUAGCAGGAGCUCCCUCUUUAGGGUUUCUUCUCCAAGAGUUACUUGGUCUUUUUUGCUUCCUUGACUCUUUCAGCAUCUGAAUAAUUUGUUUUCUUUAUAUUUAUUUGUAGAUUCCAAAAGCUUGCUGUUUCCUUCCCAUUAUCUACUUCUACCUAAUCUCCCUAUGUAGCUAUUUUUUUUUUUGUUCCCCUGAAGCCUUUUUGUUAUUUGUGUCAUUAUCUAAUUAUCCCUUAUAGAGAUCUUGUGAAUUCUUUUGCUGUUGGUCAGUGUUCAGUCAGGAUAUGGACUAAAUAGGUUUUGUUGUUACCUGGCUUUGUAACAGACUGGCCACUGAAGGAAUGAGUCAUCAAUAUUAUUUUUUUUUUUCCUUUUUUUUUAAUGGACAGGCAAGAGUGCUAGAAACAUACUUUCUUUUGGACACAGACUAGAAUUUAGUAACACUUAAGUGUUUCUAAACAGCCAUAUGAGGGACUCAUGCAACUGGGGGAAAUCUCAGGAGUCUUGGGUGUGCUGCUGGCCUCUAUAUAGAAGUUCUGUGUUUAAAUAACAAAUUUUCAAAUAUAAUUUCAUUUUCUUUUUAAUUUUAUUUGGUUUUGUCACAAAUUCCUUUUUACAGCUUCUAGCAGGUAGCUGGGCAGAAGUGCGUGUAUAGUACGCAUACAGAGGUGCAAUGAGCCAGAGAGAAACCCUAAAUUUCAGACUUUUUUUUUCCUGAUGUUUUGCAUGGGUGGAUAAGUGUUUUGGCCACUUAGGGUCAUGUAGAGUCUAACAGUGCAUUGCCAGAAUUAAUGAAUAUUAGCACUUGGCCAAAUGGCUGCUUCUGUUAAUGAAUUCUAUUUCCUUAUGGUUUUGCUCUACUUAAAACCUUUGUUUACUGUUCUGGGUAGCUUUGGUUUGUUACAAGGCACAACACUGUUGUUUGCACUGUCUUGGUAUAUCUUGAAUGUUAGUAAUCAUCCCAUUUUAAUCUUCUUUCCAUGAGUAUACUGAAAAAAAUUAAGAUUGUUCAGCAUAGGGUAUUCUAUUGGAUAGCAUCUUUGGGGUUUGAUAUGUUUGUUCUGUUGACCUGCUGAAAAAAAAAUCUUAAAGUCUAUUAGAUAUCAAGGCAGGUAUGCAAACCUAGGAGCAGGUGGUUCUAAACUGUCAGAAGUUUGGUUCAGAUGAACAAGAGGGGUUUUUCCUUGCAUAUUUAGAGAACAAAAGAAGAGCUGUUUUGAAGUCAGCACUGUAAAUGAGCACAGAAAUAAUUUAGUUCUCUGUCAUGGAUAAAACUUGACUUCUGUGGUCUAAUUUGCUUUGCAUCCAACUGGUUCUGAAAAAGGAGCAAUUCUUUUAGCUAAAAAUUAGUGUCAUUUUGAAUCAAAUGCAAAACUUCUCUCAUUUUCUGGGGAAAAGUUGGGUUUUUGAGCUGCUUUAGCAGAUUAGGGACAUAUUAAAUUCAAUUUAGGAAAAAACAGUGCUGAUCCCUUCAUUCUUUCUUUGAAACCACAACUCCUAGACUAUUUUUCUUCCCUCUUUACAGGAUUUAAGUUGAAAUGCUUUAGGGAUGUCAGCUGCUGAACUGCUUUUAAUGGGAAGAAAGGGGACAGAGAGUAUAUCUGUGUAUUCUUAGAAGGAACACGUCCCUUUGUCAGCUCUUUCAGGAGUGACAAAUGUCAGAGCUGCAGUUUGUGGUUGGUGUUUUCAUUCCCGUUUUAAAUAAAUUUAAAAUUCAGUAUUGGCUUUUAGUACAUGAGGAAUGACCUUUCAUUGAAGCAGUAAAAUGCCUUCUAAUUUCAUCCUGUCUUUUUCAAGAACCAGUUACAAGGACUCUUUUUCCUUGCUAUUGUUUUCAUUUUCUAAUGAAAGAUUUUUCUAGUUGUGAGGUUUUUUGCAUUUUGCAUUGUUCAAGUAUAGAACUUUUAUUUUUCUUCUCCUUUCUUCCCCCCUUCCCUCCAACUUGGAAUUUCAAGAUUGCAAUGAGUUCUUGAAUCAAGACAAUUGGAAUUUUGGUUUUGAAUGGAGGGUGGAGCUGAGGGAAGAACAUUCCUGGCUCUAUAGUAUGCAUCAUCACCACUUUAAAAAUAGAACUUUUGAUUUCUAUGUGGAAUCGGUGGCAUGUGGAAGUGUAACGUUUUGUAUCUAGGUAGCAAGUUCCUGGGAAGUGUAAAGAGUUCCCCCGGUACUGGUGCAGCUCCCCGGGUGUGUAUAUUCUGAGUAGUGAUAAAAUGACCCUCCACUGGCUUUUAACCAGAAUCCUGCAUGUGAUUCAAAGACUGAACAGAGUUAUGUGAGCUUCAUCGUCAUCAUGCAGUGGGAAUUCUUUCCGAAGCAAGAAAUGGGAUGUUCCUGAAGUCAGCUUUAAAUAUGGAAAUUUUUGUGCUGGAGCUACAAAACUGCCCAGAGUUCUGGGUUGGCUGUUAUAAGACAUGGAGAAAGGAGUGCACAGCUGUAAGCUGCACAUUAGUGAGUUAUGCCAUUAAUGAAAGAUCUGAACAGAACCUUUUGCUACCUGUUAUCCCUGUGAUUAACAACUGAGUAAGCAAAUCACAGUGUGGUUGUGAUAGUCAAACCAGAGUAAAAGGUUGUACUGAAACUAAAUAUAUAGAGGAUGCUUUUCUUUUUUCCUUUUUUUUUGGUGUCAAGAGUGACAGUCUACAAUAAAAAGUACUCAUGAUAAUCAUUUAGUUGAGCAGUAUCUAUUUCUACUGACAACCUUAAAUUUAAAUAAGAAACUCCUGGAAGUUUCUUUAACCGUGUAAUAAGUAUUUGUUGAAGCAUUAAAUCAUCUUUUGAAAAGAAUAUUUUUUUUUCUCCAUCUACUUUGAGAACACUCUGUUUAUUCUUUUUAUACAGCAAGUGAUACCCUAUAGGUUGAGAAAGAGAGAAUAGGGAAAGAGAAUCCUCCAGCAGCUUUUUGCCCUUAUCCAGUCUGUGAACUAAGAUCAACUUGCAGGGGGGCACAGACAAGGCUGCACUUGUUCUAAAACAGUAAAAAUGUGGUAGACACAAAAUGAUUAUUCAUUGACUGCUUUGUCUCAUAACCCUUCUUAUGGCUCCAGUUUACUUUAAAAUACAGCUUCUGGGAAUUAACUUUAGGGGUGUGUGUGGAAACUGUUUUAAACAGUUUCCAGUGUACACAGUAAGAUUGUCAUCAUCACACUGCAAUUUUCUGUAUCAUUCAUCAAUUGUUAUUAAAAACAAAAUGAAGGUUUAAAAUGCAUGUAAAGUCAUGCCAGGUUUUAUAUGUUCUAACUGUAAUCAAAACAGUCUCUUCCUUUCUGUGAAAUUAAUGCAUUAUGUAUAACGGGCCCUGUUUAGUUGUUGUCAUCAUACUCUGUGACUUACACACUCAUUUACAUAAUGAAUAUGAAUCAGCUUUUCUUUAGGAACAUAGUUCAAGUGCAUUGGAAAAAUGAAAUAAAAAAGGAUUACUUUAAUCAAGUUUUUAUUUGGGGCUUUUAGGCACAAUUGUGUAGGAAUUAUUAUUGAUUAUGUAUAUAGCCUCAGACUGAUAAUUUCCUAUCUUUGUGGCUCAGGCAGAUCAUAGUCAUCUUUGUGGCCUGCCACUAACUUAGGUUCUGGAUUAAUAUCUGAACGUGUGCUAUGCUGAGUCUCUCUAAACUGGUAUGAUGAUUACACCAUGUUCUUUGCCUAAAGGGAUACACAGCAGACGCACAUCCGUUCUGUCUCGCAGUUACCUGGUGACUCCUUGCUAUCCAGUGUUUGCCAGAUUAAAGAGAUGACUAAUGUUUAACAAAGUGCUCAAGUUUCCAUGCCUGUGUGAUAGCAAAAAAUUGCAUUAGUGUUUAUAAUCAAGAUUUUUAUUUUUUUUUAAAAAUGGGAUCCAAGUCCACUCUAUAUUUUGAUUGUAGGCAUUAAAACACAUUUUUUUUAUGUCUAAGCAUCAAUGUGAAUCAAUCUCUAAUGUUCUAAUGUGUGCCCAGAGCUGUAUAGAUCAAUGGUAGGGAUUAUAGGUGACUGCUGAUAUUUUGAAAUUGUCUCUGAUGUUAUUGCUUGAUGUUAUGUGGAAACUACUGUAAAUAAAUUUUGUAUCAAUGCUUUUACCAGUCUCAAAUGACUUCUGUAGCACCAAAAAAACCUCCAAAACCAAACAAAAAAACCUGACAAAAAACCCACCCCAUAAUCGGAAGUAGCCUACAGCUUCAUGUUGCAUCUAGAUUCUCCUUGCUGCUGAGCUGCUGCACCUCAGUUCAGACUUACAGCACCCUCUGCUGUUGUGACCUUAGGGUUCUUCCAAGGAGAGACUGGCACUUCUUCCAGAUCGUCUUUUUAAAUGGAGAAACCUCAGCUGGUUGUCCUGAGGCUGUCUGGUGUUUCAUUUGUGGCCUCCCUGCUUUAUGGACGUGAAACUAGAACCUUUAUCUUAAUAGAAAAAAUAUUGCCACCCUUUCCCCUCAAUUUCUUUGUCAAGAGAAUUUUACUAUCAAAAUCAAUAUAGAAAACUGGUUUAAUUACAUUGGCACAACUCCCUUUUGUGAUUAACCUUAGUGUGGUUUAAGAAUGCUGUAUAAUUUAGCAAUCGUUUAGGUAGGUAAGAAGUCAUAAAGCAACUGAAGUGGAAUUACUCUUUAGGGUUGCAGAGCCCCCUCCCCUCCUGCUGCAAGUAAUCUGGUCGUAUAGUCCCCUACAUAAAUUUAUUGAGCACUACUUCAGAAAGUGUUAGAUUUCACACUCAUACUGGAAAGCUGUCCUAGAAUUUCUCUCUUUGGUUAAAAAUCUUCUGGUUUUCAACAUUUGCUUUCAGUGCAAAUAACAUCUUGUAGUUAAACUGAUACAAACCUUAAUGCAGGCAAAAUAGUCUCCCUAGAAGAAGCUUCAUUUAGUUACAAUAUUCUUAAAGUAGGCAAGUGCUAAAAUAGUAUCUGUUAAUGUGACCUGCUUUAUAGUUUUUUUUGUAUCUUUCUGUAGUGGUGCUUAUUUUAAAUCAGAUCCUCUACCUAAUGUUAAUGAUGGUUCCCAGGCAUUGUGCACAGCAUUGGAUCCCCAACAGGAUAUGAACUUAUUUAAUUAUCCCAUGUGAAAAGUAGGUUGAGAAAUGUAUUUGUAGUUUUUUGUAGUCUUUCAUUUUCUUUGCCCUGAUUGUUUUGCCUCAAAAAUGAGUGUAUCCCAAAUAAAGAAGCUGUGGCUUCCAGUGAAGCACAAGCAGGUUUGAUCAGUCUGUAAACAUAAAUGACCUUGAGGAGAUUUUUUUUAAAUUUUUUUUUCUUUUUAAUUUUUCUGGAGAUACUCUUAUUGAAGCUGUUGUUCCUUGUCUAUGUUUUUCAAGGUUUGAGAUUUGGACUUUGUAUUCACUGAUGUCGACUCAAAUAUAUGCCUUUCAAAAAUAUAUUGAGUGGUUUUGAUUUAUUAAAGUUACUGUGUGACACUUGACGAAAAAUUGCAACUCCCAAAACAUUUGGUUCAGAAAGUACUUUGAGCUUGACUUACUGCAAAACGUUCCCAAAGCUUAGAGACUUCAAUGUUCUUUUACUAAAACUGAAAUAGAAAGAACUUUUCAAUAUAGCUUUGCUGAUUUCAUGUUACCUCUAAGUAAGUAAGAACAAAUCCAGAUUAGUAGACUCCUUUUGGAAAAUCUGCUAUUGUUAAUCUUACUGUGAAAAUGGAGAGAUUAAUGAGAUUCUGGAAUAUGCAGUGUAUGAAAAGUGGUGUCUCAGGCACGAAAAAUUUCAGCCCAUUUAAAAGUCAAAGCAUCUUUUAAGUUUAAGGUAGAAAUUUACUGGCAACUUUAAAUGGACCAGAAAAGAACAGCAACUUUCAACAGACUUGCAGUGCUCUACAGAAUUUAAGUUUGUUUGCUUUUUAAUUUAUUAUGAUUUCUAGAUAGUGCACAAUAUAAAAUCUCCAUUCUAGGAUUUUUUACAAUUUGUUGUUCUUUUCUUAUGCUUAUUUUUCUUCUUCUCUUUGUACUGGGCCUUUGCAUUAUGGUGACAGACAAAGUGGCUGCUUAUAAUAAGAGACUGCUCCACUCCUCCCAGUUUUCCUUGGAGAGAGGCAGUCACUGUUUGCUGUGGUUGUUGAUUUAGUGCCUGGGAGGAAUGAGGUUUUUUUGGACCCCUUCCUCAUCUCUCUCUUGCUAAGGGAGCCUGCGUCAUUGAGAAAUGUUUAACCUUCUGGCCCUGAAGCAGGACUGGAAACUUUGCUGCAAAAUCUAGAAGCUAAAACUGGAUCUUGAAAAUGUUAUUUAUGCGAACUACUCUUUCCUUUGAUUUAAUUGGGACAGGAGAUUGCAGAGCUUGAUUUAGAAUUUUGAGUAGCAACUAAUUUGGAGAGUUAGCAGGGGGGAAGAUAAUUUCUUCAGUGAAAAAUGACUUUCCAUUUUUUUCCUUCUGCCUCCUCCCCCAUGCUGGACCAUGAGGGUUCUUCUAACACUUCUGCAGAAUUUCCAGAUGUCUGGUUGCCCUGCUUCAACUACGCUCCAUUAACUGAGAGGGAAGAAGACAUUCAGAAAUCCCAAACAUUUCUGCAGCAUAAUCAUAAUAAAUCUGACAUAUCAUGAAA
This is a long non-coding RNA of Parus major (Great Tit), 9659 nucleotides long. RefSeq lists it as uncharacterized. NCBI's taxonomy places the organism in Eukaryota, Metazoa, Chordata, Aves, Passeriformes, Paridae. The transcript has 2 exons. The record is from RefSeq and is a predicted model, not a curated record.